This 138-nucleotide small nucleolar RNA is filed under the name Ornithorhynchus anatinus (platypus). Lineage: Eukaryota; Metazoa; Chordata; Mammalia; Monotremata; Ornithorhynchidae. The record is from RNAcentral.
CACCUCUCAGGGUCGCACCCGGAGAGUUUCCAGUCCUCUACCGGUCUCGGCUAUGCGAGGGAGCCUCAAGCCGAGGCCUACCCACUCCAUUCCUAGUUUGGCCAGUGGCUAGCGAGUGGAAGGCAAUCUGCUACAAGU